CUUACGACGAUGCAAAACCCCUUCGCAAGUUCAGCAGCACGGACUCCCUCGAGUAACGGUUACCUAGUAACGUCGGUUGAGCGUUUCGGUAACGCUCUUGAUAAACAAAACUCCCCGUACGCUUCUCUACUCGAGCCUCGCUCCCAAUGCCAAUCCAUUGGAUCAUAAAGCAGGCGGUGGUGGUGGCUUGGCCUUCGGUCGACAGCCGUAUCGGCUUGGGAACUACGAACCGGCAUGGAGCAACUCCGAUACAAAUCCUGCGCCUGUCCGCACAGCCUCGUCUUCGUCGGCCAACGCUUCCUAGCCUCUUCUCAGCUCAGCGAACCUUACCUCCUCCUUUGGCUACGGUCUCUACCGGUCCGGGUACAAGCUUUCCAGCGGAAACGAGUAAGGCUCUCUCUGCUAACUGUGAAGGCACAUACAUUCUUGGUGGCGAUAUAUAGAUGUGGGAGAUUGCAAGUGGUAGGCAGCUUAGAAAAUGGCAUGCUCGCUACAGAUCUGUUACUUGCUUGGUAUUUUCUGAUGAUGAUUCGCUGCUAAUUUAUGGUUUAGAAGAAGGAUCGGUUAGAGUUUUAUCUCUUCACAUUCACUUCUCGUUCUUUUCUUGUUCUCUUCUAGUUCCUAUUAUAUUGGUUGAGUUUUUUUAUUGCGUAGAAGCUUGUUUAAUGCUUCAGUAUAUUCAAUGAUAGUAGACAGCAAGAAGCUAAUAAUCUAUACGAGCAAAAUUUUUCGGAGCACAGCAAUGCCAUUAUAGUAUCAGCUUAUGAGGAUCAAACCUGUAAGGUUUGACGUUCUCAUCAUAAAUUAUAGUUUAUAAUUUCCAUUUCUUUUGAAUUAUGAGUGAUGCGGUUUAUAGCUUAGGAAAUUAAAAUAGAAAGGAACAUUUCAUGUGAGUUUCAGCCUCACCAAUGUUACGAAUCAAGCAUUUAGUAAUAGUGGGUCAUAGUUUUUGCGAGCUAUUUAUUUACAGAAGUAGGGCUAUUUUGGUGAUUUUUGAGAUUUCUUGUUGCUACACAAGUAAAUUCCUGAAUGACUCUCACCUGCUUUUUUAUUUGACGGGGAAGGGGGCUUCAACGUGCUCUCACCCUGAGAAAUUGGAUUCAGAGCACAUUCAUCAUUCACCUACUGAUUGUCAAUAUCAUUCACUUUUCCACCUCUUAGGUGGCAUUGACAUAAACCUGGGUUGCAUUCAUCAGAUUACUCAUAUCCAUUGGGGGCUGUACCAAUGCAUCCGAUUGGAUUGUAUCCCUGUGAAAUUGUACUUACAAAAGAGUCAAAGUAUUGUGAAAAUAUGAAGUAAAUUAGUUUCUAAGAAAAAUUAUGCACAAUUUUCGUGAUAGCAUAGCAUCACCAUUUUUUGAAAAGCAUUUGAAUGUGUCUUACGUGAUGGUUUCUCAUAUGGAAAAGGUCCUACAAAAUGUAGGUCCUCCCUAGUUUCUGAUAAAAGUUUUCUUUUAUUUAUUAAUUGGUUAGGCAAAACAUGUCAUGAACCUAACCUAACCUAACCAAGGACAAGCCCUGGAAUAUAACUCACGACAAUCAUUACUGCAUAAUUACUCUUUUCCCAACUAUAUGGUUGCACACUACUUAGAAAGGACUGUUGUGUCAAAUAUUUGGAAUACCUACAUGUUUCAUAUCAAUUAUGCAUUUUAACAACUUAAAGAAAGAUUUUUGCAGGACAAGAAGAAGGGACCUUUUAUGCUCUGUCCAGGUUCAGUUCAGGCAACUAUGAAGACUGCUGUGUUUCUAUGCUAAUUUAAUCUUGUGUGUCUUUGAUUUAUGAAUCCCCUGAACAAUAUGGUUUUCUAGGUGGCCAAGAUUGAGGCCGUGCUGGCAUGCAUGGUAGUUGUGAAAAAAUCAAUGCCAGCUCAUAUAACACCCAUGCCCAACAUCAAGCCUAAGCUAAUCGCAGGUUUUAUAAAAAUUUUCUUUUUGGGUUAAUAUGUAUGAAAAGUUCAUGGUAUUUAACGAGUAAGUUUGGAGUAGGUUGCAGGCCCAAAAUUUAUUUUGACAGAAUAUGUAUUCUUAUUGGACUUGAUAAUUAGGUUAAAAUCAUUUGAUAUUUUUUUGAAUCAGGUGGAAUCUUUUUAUUUAGUUAUGGGCCUGAAAAAUUUAUGGGACGAGGUUGGUUAUUCUAGAAUUGAGUCGAGGCCCAUUAAUAUUUAUUAAAUACUUGACUCAGAAAAUUACGGACAAUCCAAAGAGAUUUUUGGACUGUUUUAACCGGCCCAAUUUAUUAAUUCUAUACAAUAUCCAAGACGUGGGCCCAAGUACUUUGAAAUGGGCCCAAAAAGCCGAAGCCCAUGAUUACCAAGGAUCGCUCUCCAUGCCAUGCACAGCUCCAUGCCAUGCACGUCUCCUCUUUCACUAGGGUUUUCAGCAACCAAUAUAUAUACACAUUACGCACUUUACGCACAGACCCUCUUCACGCCUAAAUCAUCUUUCCCAAGCUAGGGUUGCCGCAGAAGCCCAUCCUUCUUUCUCAACCCCACAUUCACCACCCCAAUUGUGCCCAACAACCCUCACCCAACACCAAACGAUAACCACUGUACAUAGCCCCAGCCGAUGCACGGAAGCCCUUGCAGGCACCAAAAUCCCUAAAGUCCACAUCCAGGAAACAACUGUAGCCACGUUAACCACCUAUAGCCCCCUUUUCCUCAGCCCCUGUUGCAUGGAGCAGCAACCACUCAAGGAGGGCAAGCCGCUGCACCGUGAGAGGAACCCACUGCCACCGUCCGUCCUCCACAGUAUAACCUCCACACUGUCAGUCCUCCUUCCACAUAAAACCGAUGCCACAGCUUGGCCAUGAGCCAUCCAGUUGCACCACCAGCUUGCCUGCUGUUGCAUCACCAUGGGAUAACCUCACUGCCAAAGCCCUACCAUGCGCCACCAUCCCCCUCUCACAAAAAGCCGCAGCAAAAGCACCACGUGAGACACUGAGCACAAACAACCACUGCUCCUGCAAGAUGAAAGCUGCCAGGGCCACUGACUCAAGCCUCUGCCUUACACCGCUGUAGACUCACGCCACCCUAGCACCACCCAACACCAACCCGCAAGCCUCCACUCACGACCUACAUCCCAACACUCCUCAUCUGUUCUAACCACCCGAAACAGGGCACCUUAUUCUCUCCUCCUUCCAUGGUUUCGUGUUUUACCAACGCCCCACUUAGCCAUAGUGACCAUCCCUCCCACGCUCAGCCUCUUCAAACUGAAAGCCACACCCAGUUCAGUCGCUUCCUUGCACCAUGACAGCACCAGCAACUCCUCUCUGCUCCUUUUGCCAUCAAAUAUCUCUCCCUCACGUUAUUCUCUCUCCCUCCUAAUUCUCUCUAGCCAACGCCUAGUGCCCAUGCAGUCUUUAACCACCGUGAGCCACCAUCACACCCACACCCCCAGUCACUGAUCAUCAUCACCGGAAGCACACGACCAAAGCUCCACUGCCCUCGGUAAGGCUGCUACCCUCCCUUUUAUAAUGUAAACUUAUACGUGAAACAACCAGUAAUGUGUUUUGGGAAAGAUUUACAAAAAUACCCCUUCCCAAGUUAGAUGGUACAGUUUGGGUGGAGAAUAUUUUAGAGUUUAAUUGAUUAGUGGGAGAAGAUAAGUGGAUAUCAAUUAAGUGGGGAGUGACGAUAUUUUAAGGUUCCGAGGAUAUUUAGACAUUAAGGAAUAUAGAUUUUUUUUAUCUCAAGUUUUAAUCAAGAAGUAUGUGUUCAAUUGAAAAUUUAUGCAAGUUGCGUGACUAUUUUAUAGGUGAUGAAUGAUGUAUACUCGGCACCAUUUUGGUGACAGAGUAAUUUAUGUUUUGCUUGGCUAUCCGCAGAUGCACAAUCCUACCACGGGGGUUAAACGUGGACUCUGUUAUGAUAUGAUGCUUUGAUAUGAUGAUGAUGAUGAUGUUUAGUUAAUGUUUGCUAAAGGAUACUUUUGAAUAAAAAUAUUUUUGAAUUUUCGCUCUGAUAUUUUUGAGAACAUGUUAUGAUUUUGCAUUCUGAAACUAAAAAUGUUUUGUUCUGCAUUUUGAACUCUGUAAAUGCUCAUAUUUACAUAUUAGUAUAUGUUCUUUGCUUGUUGAGUUGUUGAUAACUCACCCCUUAUCUCUACAAUAUUUUCCAAAUAAGUAUGAUGGUUAAGCUGGAAAUCAAAAGUAGGAAGUAUUAGCAAGAUUUGAUGAUCGUAGAGGAAUAAGUGCCAAAGGGUACAAGUAAUUGUUAGAGAGUCCUAUUUAUUAGAUAUAUUAUUUUCUAUUAUUUUGGGUAUUUUGAGACAUGGAUGUUUUUGAGUCUUUGUGGAGAUUUUAAUUUGUUGUGUUUAGGUAUUUUUUAGGAACAUAUAUAUUUGUGUAAACAAAUAAAUUUGUAUUUUAUGGAGUCUUUGGAGUAUAUAUAAGUGUGUUAUGAGAUAUGAUUUUAGGUAACAAGAGCUAACUCCCUGGACCUCCAGGAUUAGGGCAUUACAGCUCAUGCUUCUAUAAGUGUUUUUCGUAGUUGUACCUAUCAAAAAAAAAAAAAAAAAAGUGUUUUUCAUAGUUGUGGUGGAACUGGUACUUUUCAUUGCCAGAUUAUGUGAUAAUGUUUAAUAGAAUUCUUUAGAAGUUUUGAGCCAUAUUACAAUGGCCAAGAAAAAGUAAACUGGGAAGGGUUUGGUGCAGUGAGGAAUGGAUAGUUUGGCAAAUUUCUAUAUGGCGGUGAAGUUCAGUUCUCAAUAAUUUUUCUAGUCGUGGUAGAUUAAUUUCAUUCUUGUGACUCAUCUUGUUAUGUGCGACCAAUUUUUAUGUUUCAUCACUUUUUAUGCAGUGCUCUUCUGCCAUCUCCUUAUUAAAGAAGCAUUACAUAGGAUCACAUAGAGUGUCAAUGGAAUUGUUUGGAUGGAAGUAGGGAUGGCACGAUAUGCAUUGCUGCAGCUAAUGCUGAAAGCACCACUAAGGACAGUAUGGGUUGCAUAUCAUAAAAUCACUAACGAAUCAUAGGCAGGUUGGUCUCUUUUAUUUUCUCAGAUUGCAAGAAGGUGCAUAUUUUGUAAUAAGAGCUGUCCCUGGUUUUGAUCAUGGUGCUUUCUUUGCUAAGUUCUCCAAAUGCAUGUUUGUUGCAUUUUUCAUGAUAAUUUUGUGCUGGUAGUAGGGAAGGCAAGAUAUACAAUGCUGCACUUAAUGUUGAAAGCACCUCUAAGGACAUUAUGGGUUGCAUAUCAUAAAAUCACUACCGAAUCGACUCUUUUGUUAUCUCACGCUGCGAGAAGGUACAUAUUUUUUAGUAAGUCUGGUUUUCAUCAUGGGGCUUUCUUUCCUAUUCAUCAAAUAUAUGUUUUUUUUUUUUUUUUUUCAUGAUAAUUUAUGUGAUGUAACCUUAUUUCCGCCUGCACUGGGAAAAUACUCAAGUCCAAGGGAUGAAGAUAUAGACCUUAAGAGUAUCAUUGGUUUCCACUCUAGUUGCAGAAAUCAGUUGAUGCUUCAUACUUAAGUUCUCACAUGGUCGAUAAUCAAAUCAAAGAACUUUGGGUUUUCUAGUGUAUGUUUUUGAUCCACAUCAUUUUCAUUUGUGUUUCUGUGUAGGUUGUACAAGGAUCAUUUCUUUUGUAUGGUUGUACUUGUAUAUUUCACCAUUUUACUUAUUGAAAAAAAUUCGUUAACUCUGCCUGAGACUUGGCUGUUCCCUUUUCCCUAACAGGUGCAAGUUUAGAGAUACCAUUAGUAUAUGGUACUUCUGAUAAUAAGGAUAUAUUUUUUUGUUACUUC
Carya illinoinensis is the source of this 5734-nucleotide long non-coding RNA. RefSeq lists it as uncharacterized. Lineage: Eukaryota; Viridiplantae; Streptophyta; Magnoliopsida; Fagales; Juglandaceae. The transcript has 3 exons. The record is from RefSeq and is a predicted model, not a curated record.